AGCGAACGCUGGCGGCAGGCCUAACACAUGCAAGUCGAACGAACUCUUCGGACUUAGUGGCGGACGGGUGAGUACCACGUGGGAACGUGCCUUUUGGUUCGGAAUCCCUCAGGGAAACUUGUGCUAAUACCGCAUGGGCUCUUCGGGGGUAAGAUGUAUCGCCAUUAGAGCGGCCCGCGUCUGAUUCGCUAGUUGGUGAGGUAACGGCACAGCAUGGCGAGGAUCAGUAGCUGGUCGGAGAGGAGGCCCAGCCACACUGGAGAUGAGACACGGCCUAGUCCGGGACGGGAGGGUGCAGUGGGGUAUCUUGCGGAAUGGGCGCUAGUGCGACGCCGCCACGCGGGGUGAAUGAUGCAGGUCUUAGUAUUGUAAAAUUCUUUCUCAGGGGACGAUAAUGACGGUACCCGGAGAAGAAGCCCCGGCUAACUUCGUG
RNAcentral lists this ribosomal RNA (433 nucleotides) under uncultured bacterium. Its description in RNAcentral is "partial 16S ribosomal RNA". It matches the Rfam family "Bacterial small subunit ribosomal RNA", at positions 29 to 507 of the family's 1533-position model. The record is from RNAcentral.